Long non-coding RNA from Hemiscyllium ocellatum (epaulette shark), 489 nucleotides. RefSeq lists it as uncharacterized. The record is from RefSeq and is a predicted model, not a curated record. Lineage: Eukaryota; Metazoa; Chordata; Chondrichthyes; Orectolobiformes; Hemiscylliidae. The transcript has 3 exons.
UUCCUGAAACAAGCAAAUCAACACAGGGAAAUCAACAUCAAUUACCCCGUACGGAAUAACCUGUUAAACAACAAAGACGUGCUGUUGAGCAGAGACUGAAAGCACUUAGCCAGCUCUUGGACUGGAGGGAGUUCAGAUCACAUUCUCCAAACUGCUUGGACACCUGCUUGAGAAAGUGGGUGCUUUCUCACUCCAGAAGACAAGGGUUGCCCUGCUGGAGAAUUGAAGGAGUUCAUCGCAGGAAAACUGUGUGUUCCAACUGCCAGAAAGAGAGCAGUUUGUGAACACAGACAGCAGCUCCCCAUCAUCCCAGACACACCGGCUCUGCAGGGGAAAACAUGAAGGGGUUCUUCAGCAUUGUCCUGCUCUGUGCUGGGAUCACAGCAGGACGAUCUCUUCAAUGUUUCAUGUGUUCAGCCUCCUCGGGUUCCUGCUCACUGAGAGAGACCACUUGCCGGAUUGGCAUCACCAACUGCCAGACUGUGUCAU